GGAGGCAGCAGCUAAGCAAUCUUCCGCAAUGGACGAAAGUCUGACGGAGCGACGCCGCGUGGGUGAAGAAGGCCGGAAGGUUGUAAAGCCCUUUUCUUGUUGAGGAAUAAGCACAGGAGGGAAUGCCUGUGCGAUGACGGUAGGCGAGGAAUAAGUCCCGGCCAAUUACGUGCCAGCAGCCGCGGUAACACGUAUGGGACGAGCGUUGUUCGGAAUCAUUGGGCGUAAAGGGCGCGUAGGCGGCGAGGUAAGCCUGGUGUGAAAGACCGCAGCUUAACUGCGGGAGCGCGCUGGGAACUGCUUUGCUUGAGUUCAGGAGGGGGAGCUGGAAUUCCAGGUGUAGGGGUGAAAUCUGUAGAUAUCUGGAAGAACACCGGCGGCGAAGGCGAGCUCCUGGCCAUGAACUGACGCUGAGGCGCGAAAGCGUGGGGAGCGAACAGGAUUAGAUACCCUGGUAGUCCACGCUGUAAACGAUGUGCACUAGGUGUUGGGCCACGAAGGUUCAGUGCCGGAGUUAACGCGUUAAGUGCACCGCCUGGGGAGUAUGCUCGCAAGGGUGAAACUCAAAGGAAUUGACGGGGGCCCGCACAAGCGGUGGAGCAUGUGGUUUAAUUCGAUGAUACGCGAGGAACCUUACCAGGGUUUGACAUAUGCCGGAAUGUGCAGGAGACUGCGCAGCCCUUCGGGGCCGGUAUACAGGUGCUGCAUGGCCGUCGUCAGCUCGUGCCGUGAGGUGUUGGGUUAAGUCCCGCAACGAGCGCAACCCCUACCGUCUGUUGCCAGCAUUUAGUUGGGGACUCAGGCGGAACUGCCGGUGACAAACCGGAGGAAGGUGGGGACGACGUCAGGUCAUCAUGGCCCUUAUAUCCUGGGCUACACACGUGCUACAAUGGCCGGUACAGAGCGAAGCAACACCGCGAGGUAGAGCAAAUCGUAGAAAGCCGGUCUCAGUUCGGAUUGGAGUCUGAAACCCGACUCCAUGAAGUUGGAAUCGCUAGUAAUCGCGCAUCAGCAUGGCGCGGUGAUACGUUCCCGGGCCUUGUACACACCGCCCGUCACACCACCCGAGUUGGGGGUACCCGAAGUCGUUUGCCUAACCUGCAAAGGGGGGCGGCGCCGAAGUAUGCCUGUAAGGGGG
RNAcentral lists this ribosomal RNA (1138 nucleotides) under uncultured organism. Its description in RNAcentral is "bacterial SSU rRNA". It matches the Rfam family "Bacterial small subunit ribosomal RNA", at positions 344 to 1479 of the family's 1533-position model. The record is from RNAcentral.